UUUUAGCAAAAACAGAAAAAACUCUCAUUCUCCCAACUCUCCUUUACUCUCCAGACGCCGGCCUAGCUCCGGCCAAGGGUACCGGUGGGGUUUCGGCGCCUUCGCCAUCGUCGUGACCCCUUUUCAAUCAUUUUAACCCCGGGUAACCCCGAUCUACCCUAAAAACUGGCUAAAAACCGUCAAGGAUCAAUGGAAGACCGAAAAACUCUUCGGUUUCCUCCCCUCCGACCACCAACAAGGUAAGACCCCCUUCUCUUUUAUUAUUUAAUAUGUAAUCUUAUAUAUAUGUGCUAAAUAAAACAACAAAGAAAAUAAAUAAAUAAAUAAAU
This 329-nucleotide long non-coding RNA is filed under the name Gossypium raimondii (Peruvian cotton). RNAcentral's name for it is "long non-coding RNA (GRAI_LNC005732)". Lineage: Eukaryota; Viridiplantae; Streptophyta; Magnoliopsida; Malvales; Malvaceae. The record is from RNAcentral.